This 1975-nucleotide ribosomal RNA is filed under the name human gut metagenome. Its description in RNAcentral is "bacterial LSU rRNA". It matches the Rfam family "Bacterial large subunit ribosomal RNA", at positions 1 to 2004 of the family's 2925-position model. The record is from RNAcentral.
UUAAGCGACUAAGCGUACACGGUGGAUGCCCUGGCAGUCAGAGGCGAUGAAGGACGUGCUAAUCUGCGAAAAGCGUCGGUAAGGUGAUAUGAACCGUUACAGCCGGCGAUGUCCGAAUGGGGAAACCCAGUGCAAUUCGUUGCACUAUCGUUAACUGAAUACAUAGGUUAACGAGGCGAACCGGGGGAACUGAAACAUCUAAGUACCCCGAGGAAAAGAAAUCAACCGAGAUUCCCCCAGUAGCGGCGAGCGAACGGGGAGCAGCCCAGAGUCUGAAUCAGCUUGUGUGUUAGUGGAACGGUCUGGAAAGUCCGACGGUACAGGGUGAUAGUCCCGUACACGAAAAUGCACAGGUUGUGAACUCGAAGAGUAGGGCGGGACACGUGGUAUCCUGUCUGAAUAUGGGGGGACCAUCCUCCAAGGCUAAAUACUCCUGACUGACCGAUAGUGAACCAGUACCGUGAGGGAAAGGCGAAAAGAACCCCGGCGAGGGGAGUGAAAAAGAACCUGAAACCGUGUACGUACAAGCAGUGGGAGCCUACUUGUUAGGUGACUGCGUACCUUUUGUAUAAUGGGUCAGCGACUUAUAUUCUGUAGCAAGGUUAACCGUAUAGGGGAGCCGCAGGGAAACCGAGUCUUAACUGGGCGUUAAGUUGCAGGGUAUAGACCCGAAACCCGGUGAUCUAGCCAUGGGCAGGUUGAAGGUUGGGUAACACUAACUGGAGGACCGAACCGACUAAUGUUGAAAAAUUAGCGGAUGACUUGUGGCUGGGGGUGAAAGGCCAAUCAAACCGGGAGAUAGCUGGUUCUCCCCGAAAGCUAUUUAGGUAGCGCCUCGUGAACUCAUCUUCGGGGGUAGAGCACUGUUUCGGCUAGGGGGUCAUCCCGACUUACCAACCCGAUGCAAACUACGAAUACCGAAGAAUGUUAUCACGGGAGACACACGGCGGGUGCUAACGUCCGUCGUGAAGAGGGAAACAACCCAGACCGCCAGCUAAGGUCCCAAAGUCAUGGUUAAGUGGGAAACGAUGUGGGAAGGCACAGACAGCCAGGAUGUUGGCUUAGAAGCAGCCAUCAUUUAAAGAAAGCGUAAUAGCUCACUGGUCGAGUCGGCCUGCGCGGAAGAUGUAACGGGGCUAAACCAUGCACCGAAGCUGCGGCAGCGACACUAUGUGUUGUUGGGUAGGGGAGCGUUCUGUAAGCCUGCGAAGGUGACCUGUGAGGGUUGCUGGAGGUAUCAGAAGUGCGAAUGCUGACAUAAGUAACGAUAAAGCGGGUGAAAAGCCCGCUCGCCGGAAGACCAAGGGUUCCUGUCCAACGUUAAUCGGGGCAGGGUGAGUCGACCCCUAAGGCGAGGCCGAAAGGCGUAGUCGAUGGGAAACAGGUUAAUAUUCCUGUACUUGGUGUUACUGCGAAGGGGGGACGGAGAAGGCUAUGUUAGCCGGGCGACGGUUGUCCCGGUUUAAGCAUGUAGGCUGGUUAUCCAGGCAAAUCCGGAUAAUCAAGGCUGAGGUGUGAUGACGAGGCACUACGGUGCUGAAGUAACAAAUGCCCUGCUUCCAGGAAAAGCCUCUAAGCAUCAGGUAACAUCAAAUCGUACCCCAAACCGACACAGGUGGUCAGGUAGAGAAUACCAAGGCGCUUGAGAGAACUCGGGUGAAGGAACUAGGCAAAAUGGUGCCGUAACUUCGGGAGAAGGCACGCUGGUGUGUAGGUGAAGCCCCUGCGGGUGGAGCUGAGACCAGUCGAAGAUACCAGCUGGCUGCAACUGUUUAUUAAAAACACAGCACUGUGCAAACACGAAAGUGGACGUAUACGGUGUGACGCCUGCCCGGUGCCGGAAGGUUAAUUGAUGGGGUUAGCGGUAACGCGAAGCUCUUGAUCGAAGCCCCGGUAAACGGCGGCCGUAACUAUAACGGUCCUAAGGUAGCGAAAUUCCUUGUCGGGUAAGUUCCGACCUGCACGAAUGGCGUAA